This 812-nucleotide ribosomal RNA is filed under the name uncultured Candidatus Babelota bacterium. Its description in RNAcentral is "bacterial SSU rRNA". It matches the Rfam family "Bacterial small subunit ribosomal RNA", at positions 549 to 1355 of the family's 1533-position model. The record is from RNAcentral.
AAUUACUGGGUGUAAAGGGUACGUAGACGGCAUAUUAAGUCAAUUGUUAAAUUCCCCAGCUUAACUGGGGGUAGGCGGUUGAAACUAAUAAGCUAGAGGAUGAGAGAGAGAAGUGGAAUUCUCGAGAGUAGCGGUAAAAUGCGUAGAUCUCGAGAGGAACACCGAUGGCGAAGGCAGCUUCUUGGCUCAUUUCUGACGUUGAGGUACGAAAGCGUGGGGAGCAAACAGGAUUAGAUACCCUGGUAGUCCACGCUGUAAACGAUGAUCACUAGACGUUAGGCUUGCUUGCAGGCUUAGUGUCGCAGCUAACGCGAUAAGUGAUCCACCUGGGGACUACGGUCGCAAGAUUAAAACUCAAAGGAAUUGACGGGGGUCCGCACAAGCGGUGGAACAUGUGGUUUAAUUCGUCACUACGCGAGAAACCUUACCUAGGCUUGACAUGCUUUUGACUGCUGCAGAAACGUAGCUUUCUAGACUUCGGUUUAGACAAUUGCACAGGUGCUGCAUGGCUGUCGUCGGCUCGUGUCGUGAGAUGUUUGGUUAAGUCCUCUAACGAGCGCAACUCCUACCGUUAGUUGCUAUUCCGUAAGGAAGCACUCUAGCGGGACUGCCUGGGAAACCAGGAGGAAGGUGGGAACGACGUCAAGUCAUCAUGGUCCUUAUGCCUAGGGCUACACACGUGUUACAAUGGUCGGUACAGAGAGUUGCAAACUAGUAAUAGUAAGCUAAUCUCUUAAAGCCGAUCUAAGUUCGGAUUGAGGUCUGCAACUCGACCUCAUGAAGUUGAAUCGCUAGCAAUCGCGCAUCAGAAC